RNAcentral lists this non-coding RNA (24 nucleotides) under Arabidopsis thaliana (thale cress). Lineage: Eukaryota; Viridiplantae; Streptophyta; Magnoliopsida; Brassicales; Brassicaceae. The record is from RNAcentral.
UGAUGAGACAGAUGAUAUAGAUGA